AACGAACGCUGGCGGCAGGCCUAACACAUGCAAGUCGAACGGGCGUAGCAAUACGUCAGUGGCGCACGGGUGAGUAACGCGUGGGUACCUGUCUGAUGGUAGGGGAUAACCGCGGGAAACUGCGGCUAAUACCCUAUGUGUCCUUCGGGACAAAGAUUUAUCGCCAUCAGGUGGGCCCGCGUAGGAUUAGCUAGUUGGUGAGGUAACGGCUCACCAAGGCGACGAUCCUUAGCUGGUCUGAGAGGACGAUCAGCCACACUGGGACUGAGACACGGCCCAGACUCCUACGGGAGGCAGCAGCGGGGAAUAUUGGACAAUGGGGGCAACCCUGAUCCAGCCAUGCCGCGUGAGUGAUGAAGGCCUUCGGGUUGUAAAGCUCUUUUGGCGGGAACGAUGAUGACGGUACCCGCAGAAUAAGCUCCAGCUAACUUCGUGCCAGCCGCCGCGGUAA
This 451-nucleotide ribosomal RNA is filed under the name uncultured bacterium. Its description in RNAcentral is "partial 16S ribosomal RNA". It matches the Rfam family "Bacterial small subunit ribosomal RNA", at positions 29 to 523 of the family's 1533-position model. The record is from RNAcentral.